CCUACGGGAGGCAGCAGUGAGGAAUAUUGGUCAAUGGGCGAGAGCCUGAACCAGCCAAGUCGCGUGAAGGAUGAAGGAUCUAUGGUUUGUAAACUUCUUUUAUAUGGGAAUAAAGUGAGGAACGUGUUCCUUUUUGUAUGUACCAUAUGAAUAAGCAUCGGCUAACUCCGUGCCAGCAGCCGCGGUAAUACGGCGGAUGCGAGCGUUUUCCGGAUUUAUUGGGUUUAAAGGGUGCGUAGGUGGGUAGUUAAGUCAGCGGUGAAAGUUUGUGGCUCAACCAUAAAAUUGCCGUUGAAACUGGUUGACUUGAGUAUAUUUGAGGUAGGCGGAAUGCGUGGUGUAGCGGUGAAAUGCAUAGAUAUCACGCAGAACUCCGAUUGCGAAGGCAGCUUACUAAACUAUAACUGACACUGAAGCACGAAAGCGUGGGGAUCGAACAGGAUUAGAUACCCUAGUAGUC
This 460-nucleotide ribosomal RNA is filed under the name uncultured bacterium. RNAcentral describes it as "partial 16S ribosomal RNA". It matches the Rfam family "Bacterial small subunit ribosomal RNA", at positions 338 to 795 of the family's 1533-position model. The record is from RNAcentral.